GAGGCAGCAGUGGGGAAUAUUGGACAAUGGGCGAAAGCCUGAUCCAGCAAUACCGCGUGUGUGAAGAAGGCCUUCGGGUUGUAAAGCACUUUAAGUUGGGAAGAAAAAACUUCAAUUAAUACUUGAAGUCUUGACGGUACCGACAGAAUAAGCACCGGCUAACUCUGUGCCAGCAGCCGCGGUAAUACAGAGGGUGCUAGCGUUAAUCGGAUUUACUGGGCGUAAAGCGUGCGUAGGCGGUUUGAUAAGUCGGUUGUGAAAGCCCCGGGCUCAACCUGGGAAUUGCGGCCGAUACUGUCAGACUAGAAAACGGUAGAGGGAGGCGGAACUCCAGGUGUAGCGGUGAAAUGCGUAGAGAUCUGGAGGAAUACCGAUGGCGAAGGCAGCCAUCUGGCCUAAUACUGACGCUGAGGUACGAAAGCGUGGGGAGCAAACAGGAUUAGAUACCCUGGUAGUCCAUGCCGUAAACGAUGUCUACUAGCCGUUGGGGCCUUUGAGGCUUUAGUGGCGCAGCUAACGCGAUAAGUAGACCGCCUGGGGAGUACGGCCGCAAGGUUAAAACUCAAAUGAAUUGACGGGGGCCCGCACAAGCGGUGG
Molecule: ribosomal RNA, 597 nt
Filed under: Ditylum brightwellii
Lineage: Eukaryota; Bacillariophyta; Thalassiosirophyceae; Lithodesmiales; Lithodesmiaceae
Description: partial Bacterial small subunit ribosomal RNA
Rfam family: Bacterial small subunit ribosomal RNA
Source: RNAcentral